AUUGAACGCUGGCGGCAUGCCUUACACAUGCAAGUCGAACGGCAGCACGGGUGCUUGCACCUGGUGGCGAGUGGCGAACGGGUGAGUAAUGCAUCGGAACGUGCCUUUCAGUGGGGGAUAACGUAGCGAAAGUUACGCUAAUACCGCAUAUUCUCUCCGGAGGAAAGCAGGGGAUCGCAAGACCUUGCGCUGAUAGAGCGGCCGAUGUCGGAUUAGCUAGUUGGUGAGGUAAAGGCUCACCAAGGCGACGAUCCGUAGCGGGUCUGAGAGGAUGAUCCGCCACACUGGGACUGAGACACGGCCCAGACUCCUACGGGAGGCAGCAGUGGGGAAUUUUAGACAAUGGGGGCAACCCUGAUCCAGCCAUGCCGCGUGAGUGAAGAAGGCCUUCGGGUUGUAAAGCUCUUUUGGCCGGGAAGAAAUCGUGUGGGCUAAUAACCUGCAUGGAUGACGGUACCGGAAUAAGAAGCACCGGCUAACUACGUGCCAGCAGCCGCCGUAA
Molecule: ribosomal RNA, 502 nt
Filed under: uncultured bacterium
Lineage: Bacteria
Description: partial 16S ribosomal RNA
Rfam family: Bacterial small subunit ribosomal RNA
Source: RNAcentral